CAGAGUUGCAAAACUCCCACACCCUUUGUGAACGCACUGAAAUUACUGCCUCGGCGGGCAGCCCUUCAGAGGGUAGCCCGCCGGAGAAGCACUAAACUCCUGUAUUUUUGGCUUCUCUGAGUGAUUAUACAAUGGAUCA
RNAcentral lists this unclassified non-coding RNA (139 nucleotides) under uncultured Podospora. Its description in RNAcentral is "sequence contains ITS1". Lineage: Eukaryota; Fungi; Ascomycota; Sordariomycetes; Sordariales; Lasiosphaeriaceae. The record is from RNAcentral.